This 225-nucleotide unclassified non-coding RNA is filed under the name Glomeromycetes sp. RNAcentral describes it as "partial contains 5.8S ribosomal RNA and internal transcribed spacer 2". The stretch from base 1 to 71 matches the Rfam family "5.8S ribosomal RNA", at positions 84 to 154 of the family's 154-position model. Lineage: Eukaryota; Fungi; Glomeromycota; Glomeromycetes. The record is from RNAcentral.
GUGAAUCAUCGAAUUUUUGAACGCACAUUGCACUCUCUGGUAUUCCGGGGAGUAUGCCUGUUUGAGGGUCAUUAAAACCAAUCUUUCACCAAUUUUUUUGGUCAACGGGGAUGAGUUCUCCGCGUUUAUCGCGGUGGCUUGAAAUAUAUGGUCAAGUCUCAUUUUAGUCGAGACGCUUAAUAAUAUUAUUUCGCGAACUCUUCAUUAUAUGCCUAUCAAGUUUCG